RNAcentral lists this long non-coding RNA (890 nucleotides) under Marmota monax (woodchuck). Lineage: Eukaryota; Metazoa; Chordata; Mammalia; Rodentia; Sciuridae. The record is from RNAcentral.
AGAUGGAGCCCAUAGUGGGAGUCCAGAGCCCCCUACAAUGGUCACCUGUUCUCGGGUGUGCCCACACCCAGAAAUGCCCCUGCCCCAAUACCCCUCUGCUUUUCCAAUCCCUCCUUUCCUAGGCAGGGGUUGGAGCAGCAAGUGGCCUGCCCAGGCUGUGUAUCCAGGGCCCCAGCCUGUCCCUGUCACCUAGACAUUUCAACUGAACAGGCCUAGAAUCAAGGAUAGGAUUUUCUCCAAAAUGCCAUUGGCAUCUCUGGGGACAGAGUCACAUUUUCCUACUGAUUACACAACACGGUAGCAUUUACAAUAGUCACUCCAUCCGUCAAUAUCAGUCGGAGGCAGCGAGAAAUGUCCCCCUCACCCCACCUGUGCCGACUGACUGCGGCUGAGAGAGAGGCUGGAUGGAAGGAAGAGAGGACACGGUCCACCCCUCACAGCCCAAGGGCGAAAGGGAGAUGUGCUCCCUUGGGGGCCCUGGGGGUGUCGGCCAUGACACCCUUGGAUCUCAGAGUUCCACAGUCAAGGAUUCUGAUCUGGGCUUUGUACUUUCCGAGUACGUAACUAAGGGCAGCUCAGCUCUUUGGGAAUCUCAGUUUCUUUAUGUGCAAAAGGGGUACAUGACCUUUCUCUUCCAGGUUGUCUGUGAAGACUUACCGAGAUCACAUUCUGAGAACUGGGGGCUUGCAGCGCGGAGGACCUGGGCACAGGCACACCACUUGACCCCAGCCUGCAGUGGCUUCCUCCUCUCUUGGAAGGGCAGCCUCGAUUUCCAAAUGGAAUGGCCUAGAAUGUCCUCCGCUCCACGCCCCCAAAGAAGGUCUCCAUGGGGGUGAUGGUGAAGGGGGAUGGGCAAUUCAUUGUGCACCUACCGCACCAGGACUGUCCAG